GGAGAGGUGGCCGAGCGGCUGAAGGCGCUCCCCUGCUAAGGGAGUAUGGGCUAACCCCCAUCGAGGGUUCGAAUCCCUCCCUCUCCGCCA
This 90-nucleotide transfer RNA is filed under the name Myxococcota bacterium. RNAcentral's name for it is "tRNA-Ser". It matches the Rfam family "tRNA". Rfam says of the family: Transfer RNA (tRNA) molecules are approximately 80 nucleotides in length. Their secondary structure includes four short double-helical elements and three loops (D, anti-codon, and T loops). Lineage: Bacteria; Pseudomonadati; Myxococcota. The record is from RNAcentral.